AGGACGAACGCUGGCGGCGUGCUUAACACAUGCAAGUCGAACGAGAUCCAUUCAGUAGCAAUACUGAUGAAGAUCUAGUGGCGAACGGGUGCGUAACACGUGAGGAACUUGUCCCGGUCUCUGGGAUAACAGUUGGAAACGACUGCUAAUACCGGAUGACGUCGGAACUUCGCAUGGAGUACUGACGAAAGGGUUACUGGAUCGGGAGAGCCUCGCGGCCUAUCAGCUUGUUGGUGGGGUAAUGGCCUACCAAGGCGACGACGGCUAGCUGGUCUGAGAGGACGACCAGCCACACCGGGACUGAGACACGGCCCAGACUCCUACGGGAGGCAGCAGUGGGGAAUCUUGCGCAAUGGGCGAAAGCCUGACGCAGCAACGCCGCGUGGGGAUGAAUGCUUCGGGUUGUAAACCCGUUUCAGCAGGGACGAAUCUGACGGUACCUGCAGAAGAAGCCCCGGCAACUACGUGCCAGCAGCCGC
This 479-nucleotide ribosomal RNA is filed under the name uncultured bacterium. RNAcentral's name for it is "SSU rRNA". It matches the Rfam family "Bacterial small subunit ribosomal RNA", at positions 26 to 518 of the family's 1533-position model. The record is from RNAcentral.